Molecule: ribosomal RNA, 313 nt
Filed under: uncultured eukaryote
Lineage: Eukaryota
Description: partial 18S ribosomal RNA
Rfam family: Eukaryotic small subunit ribosomal RNA
Source: RNAcentral
CCCUUAGAUGCUCUGGGCCGCACACGCGCUACAAUGGCAAAGUCAACGAGCUUAUCCUAUGCUGACAAGCACAGGUAAUCUUUUCAGUCUUUGUCGUGAUGGGGAUAGACCCUUGUAAUUAUUGGUCUCCAACGAGGAAUUCCUAGUAAACGCAAGUCAUCAACUUGCAUUGAUUACGUCCCUGCCCUUUGUACACACCGCCCGUCGCACCUACCGAUUGAAUGGUCCGGUGAAGUCUUCGGACCGAUGCUGACUCGUUGGCAACGGAAAGUUGAGUAAACCUUACCAUUUAGAGGAAGGUGAAGUCGUAACA